RNAcentral lists this ribosomal RNA (463 nucleotides) under uncultured bacterium. RNAcentral describes it as "partial 16S ribosomal RNA". It matches the Rfam family "Bacterial small subunit ribosomal RNA", at positions 29 to 507 of the family's 1533-position model. The record is from RNAcentral.
AUUGAACGCUGGCGGCAUGCUUUACACAUGCAAGUCGAACGGUAACAGGCCGCUAGGUGCUGACGAGUGGCGAACGGGUGAGUAAUGCAUCGGAACGUGCCCAGUCGUGGGGGAUAACUACUCGAAAGAGUAGCUAAUACCGCAUACGAUCUAUGGAUGACAGCGGGGGACCGUAAGGCCUCGCGCGAUUGGAGCGGCUGGUGUCUGAUUAGCUUGUUGGUGGGGUAAAGGCUCACCAAGCCAUCGAUCUGUAGAUGGCCUGAGAGGACGACGGGCCACAUUGGGACUGAGAUACGGCCCAGACUGCGACGGGAGGCAGCAGUGGGGAAUAUUGCACAAUGGGCGGAAGCCUGAUGCAGCAACGCGGCGUGCGGGAUGACGGCCUUCGGGUUGUAAACCGCGUUCAGAAGGGGCGAAGCUUGUGGUGACGGUACCUGCAGAAGAAGCACCGGCUAACUACGUG